GCCGGGUGUGGUGGCGCACACCUGUAAUCCCAACUACUAAGGAGGCUGAGGCAGGAGAAUCACUUGAACUUGGGAGGCGGAUGUUGCAGUAAGCCGAGAUCGCACCACUGCACUCCAGCCUGGGUGACAUAGUGAGACCCUGUCUCCC
Pan troglodytes (chimpanzee) is the source of this 148-nucleotide non-coding RNA. It matches the Rfam family "Metazoan signal recognition particle RNA". Rfam says of the family: The signal recognition particle (SRP) is a universally conserved ribonucleoprotein. It is involved in the co-translational targeting of proteins to membranes. The eukaryotic SRP consists of a 300-nucleotide 7S RNA and six proteins: SRPs 72, 68, 54, 19, 14, and 9. The record is from Rfam. NCBI's taxonomy places the organism in Eukaryota, Metazoa, Chordata, Mammalia, Primates, Hominidae.